Molecule: ribosomal RNA, 775 nt
Filed under: uncultured Neocallimastigales
Lineage: Eukaryota; Fungi; Neocallimastigomycota; Neocallimastigomycetes; Neocallimastigales
Description: partial large subunit ribosomal RNA
Rfam family: Eukaryotic large subunit ribosomal RNA
Source: RNAcentral
UAUGUGAUCGUCUCUCGCAUAUCAAUAAGCGGAGGAAAAGAAACUAACAAGGAUUCCCCUAGUAACGGCGAGUGAAGUGGGAAGAGCUCAAAUUUGAAAUCUUAAAGGGUUUCCCUUUACGAAUUGUAGUUUAAAGAAGUGUUUUCUGUUGAGGUUUUGGUAAAAGUUCUUUGGAAUAGGACAUCAUAGAGGGUGAGAAUCCCGUAUUUGACCUUUACUUUCAACUUUGUGAUACACUUUCAAAGAGUCGGAUUGUUUGGGAAUGCAGUCCAAAAUGGGUGGUAAAUUUCAUCUAAAGCUAAAUAUUGGCGAGAGACCGAUAGCGAACAAGUACCGUGAGGGAAAGAUGAAAAGAACUUUGAAAAGAGAGUUAAACAGUACGUGAAAUUGUCAAAAGGGAAGCGUUUGACACCAGUGUUGUUUUUCUGAAAAUCAAUUAAGGAACUGUUUAUGCUAAGUUGUUUAGACUUCAUCAGCUAUCUGUUUAGUUUUGAGCUUUUCUUUAAUGCACUUUUCCAGUUAACAAGUCAACAUCAAUUUCUUUUGCUGUAAAAAAGCUUGAGGAAGGUGGCUUGAGAUUCGUCUUAAGUGUUUAUAGCCUCUUGCCUAUGCAGUCGGAGAGAUUGAGGUCUGCAGCGUAGAUCCUUCGGGGCUAAAUGCAUUUGUGCUAAGUUAUAGCAUUUUAUAGACAACUUGUUGACUAUGAUUUGUCUUGUAGCUUACUCGCUUAUGUUAUUUUACCUACGCUUAGGAUGUUGAGUAGCGACAUACGCAC